AACUUUGCCCAAAAGCUAUGGGCUCCUGAGGUAAGGAAUUCAGGUUGCAACUUUGUCCAAACUGCCACCAACCCAACGCACUUCUCAUGCUGGGUCCGUCAACUAGCACACACAGAACCAGCGGGACCUGGAACAUGUGGAAAGCACAGACUGCAACCCCACACCCCACCUGGGCUCAGCAAAGGAAGCAGCCUUUUCAGCCUUCAGACUUCCCUCGCCAGCCUCUGCAGACUGAGCUCCAGUUCCAGGCUUCCCUGGACACAGAGAAUGAACAUACCCAGCAUGGAGGCCCGACUGCCUUCCCCUCUCCAUCCCAGGGUCUCGCUGUGGACGGUGACCCAAGGAGAAGAAAAGCUAUGGAUACCAUCGAAAUUGAUAAAAAUUAGAUUUGAACAAGAGAGACCUCUUAAUUAAGGAAGGCCUCUUGAUUAGUUCAUCAAACAGCAUGGCCUUUCAAUCUACACUAACUUACUAGAUGCCAAAAAGGGAAACUCCCCAAAAUUAGGGUUGGUGCAGGGUUUUGUUUUUGUCUUUGCAAGAAAAUAAAAGCAUCCAACUAAGGCAACUUAGGAAUCUGAAGACCACUGUACAAAUGAGACAUCUGGAGAAGACGAGAGAAUGAUCCAGAGAAAAUGCCCCGAGAAGAAGAGUCAACUGGCCUAAUGGUACAGCACACUUCCAAUAGGAUAAAAUCUCAUAGGUCUUCCCAAAUGUGUGUUUCUGCUGUUCUCUACAGACAUACAAGGCAAACGGUCUUUUGUAGUUCCAGUACAAUUAAAACUUAAAUCUGGCUUUAGAGUUGGAGAGUGGCUGUCUCCUUCUCUAAACCCAAGCAUGCUUGUUAAAGAAAAUAAAAAUCUCUCUCCUAUCUCAGAAGAACCACCUGGUAUAGGACAGAAGAAAAAACAAAA
Long non-coding RNA from Mesocricetus auratus (golden hamster), 911 nucleotides. RefSeq lists it as uncharacterized. The transcript has 3 exons. Lineage: Eukaryota; Metazoa; Chordata; Mammalia; Rodentia; Cricetidae. The record is from RefSeq and is a predicted model, not a curated record.